ACACUCCUACGGGAGGCAGCAGUGGGGAAUAUUGCACAAUGGGCGCAAGCCUGAUGCAGCCAUGCCGCGUGUAUGAAGAAGGCCUUCGGGUUGUAAAGUACUUUCAGCGGGGAGGAAGGCGAUAAGGUUAAUAACCUUGUCGAUUGACGUUACCCGCAGAAGAAGCACCGGCUAACUCCGUGCCAGCAGCCGCGGUAAUACGGAGGGUGCAAGCGUUAAUCGGAAUUACUGGGCGUAAAGCGCACGCAGGCGGUCUGUCAAGUCGGAUGUGAAAUCCCCGGGCUCAACCUGGGAACUGCAUUCGAAACUGGCAGGCUAGAGUCUUGUAGAGGGGGGUAGAAUUCCAGGUGUAGCGGUGAAAUGCGUAGAGAUCUGGAGGAAUACCGGUGGCGAAGGCGGCCCCCUGGACAAAGACUGACGCUCAGGUGCGAAAGCGUGGGGAGCAAACAGGAUUAGAAACCCCAGUAGUCCCAUG
Molecule: ribosomal RNA, 475 nt
Filed under: uncultured organism
Description: partial 16S ribosomal RNA
Rfam family: Bacterial small subunit ribosomal RNA
Source: RNAcentral